UACGUAGGGUGCAAGCGUUGUCCGGAAUUAUUGGGCGUAAAGAGCUCGUAGGCGGUCUGUCGCGUCGGCUGUGAAAACCCGGGGCUCAACUCCGGGCCUGCAGCCGAUACGGGCAGACUAGAGUUCGGCAGGGGAGACUGGAAUUCCUGGUGUAGCGGUGAAAUGCGCAGAUAUCAGGAGGAACACCGGUGGCGAAGGCGGGUCUCUGGGCCGAUACUGACGCUGAGGAGCGAAAGCGUGGGGAGCGAACAGG
Molecule: ribosomal RNA, 253 nt
Filed under: uncultured bacterium
Lineage: Bacteria
Description: partial 16S ribosomal RNA
Rfam family: Bacterial small subunit ribosomal RNA
Source: RNAcentral